GAUGAACGCUGGCGGCGUGCCUAAUACAUGCAAGUCGAGCGAACAGACGAGGAGCUUGCUCCUCUGACGUUAGCGGCGGACGGGUGAGUAACACGUGGAUAACCUACCUAUAAGACUGGGAUAACUUCGGGAAACCGGAGCUAAUACCGGAUAACCUUUUGAACCGCAUGGUUCAACAGUGAAAGACGGUCUUGCUGUCACUUAUAGAUGGAUCCGCGCCGCAUUAGCUAGUUGGUAAGGUAACGGCUUACCAAGGCAACGAUGCGUAGCCGACCUGAGAGGGUGAUCGGCCACACUGGAACUGAGACACGGUCCAGACUCCUAAGGGAGGCAGCAGUAGGGAAUCUUACGCAAUGGGCGAAAGCCUGACGGAGCAACGCCGCGUGAGUGAAGAAGGUCUUCGGAUCGUAAAACUCUGUUAUUAGGGAAGAACAAAUGUGUAAGUAACUAUGCACGUCUUGACGGUACCUAAUCAGAAAGCCACGGCUAACUACGUG
This 497-nucleotide ribosomal RNA is filed under the name uncultured bacterium. RNAcentral's name for it is "partial 16S ribosomal RNA". It matches the Rfam family "Bacterial small subunit ribosomal RNA", at positions 28 to 507 of the family's 1533-position model. The record is from RNAcentral.